Molecule: transfer RNA, 73 nt
Filed under: Trichonephila clavata
Lineage: Eukaryota; Metazoa; Arthropoda; Arachnida; Araneae; Nephilidae
Rfam family: tRNA
About the family: Transfer RNA (tRNA) molecules are approximately 80 nucleotides in length. Their secondary structure includes four short double-helical elements and three loops (D, anti-codon, and T loops).
Source: Rfam by way of RNAcentral
GCUGCUGUAGCGCAAUGGAUAGUGCGUUGGACUUCUAAUCCAAGGGUCGUGGGUUCGAAUCCCGCCUGGGAUG